This 258-nucleotide long non-coding RNA is filed under the name Sparus aurata (gilthead seabream). RNAcentral describes it as "lncRNA (ENSSAUG00010006463.1)". Lineage: Eukaryota; Metazoa; Chordata; Actinopteri; Spariformes; Sparidae. The record is from RNAcentral.
GUUUUCUCACUUGUCUUUUUGCAGGGUGUUGCUGGAGUUGAUGGGCCUCCAGGUCCCAAAGGAAACAUGGGCCCACAAGGAGAACCAGGCCCACCAGGGCAGCAGGGAAUCCCCGGGACACAGGGUCUUCCUGGUCCUCAAGGCCCCAUUGGACCACCUGGAGAAAAAGUAUGUGACCUGUACUACAGUAUAACCUAUAUUGUAACUUCAGCUAAUUCAGCUAAAUGUCAUCUUUUGUCAUUUGGUUCCUGCAGGUCA